Molecule: ribosomal RNA, 237 nt
Filed under: uncultured eukaryote
Lineage: Eukaryota
Description: partial large subunit ribosomal RNA
Rfam family: Eukaryotic large subunit ribosomal RNA
Source: RNAcentral
AUAUUAAUAAGCGGAGGAAAAGAAACUAACAAGGAUUCCCCUAGUAACUGCGAGUGAAGCGGGAAAAGCUCAAAUUUGAAAUCUGGCAGUUGUUGACUGUCCGAGUUGUAAUCUAGAGAAGUGUUACCUGUGCUGGACCGUGUACAAGUCUCCUGGAAUGGAGCAUCAUGGAGGGUGAGAAUCCCGUCUUUGACACGGACUACCUGUGCGUUGUGGUAUGCUCCUACAAAGAGUGUC